This 747-nucleotide long non-coding RNA is filed under the name Mytilus galloprovincialis (Mediterranean mussel). Lineage: Eukaryota; Metazoa; Mollusca; Bivalvia; Mytilida; Mytilidae. The record is from RNAcentral.
GGGGUUAAAAAUCAUUUGAUGUGGAGCUUAUUUUUCAUGGACACUGUCAAAUUCAGAACCCAUUACCGGUAUGGCUGAUUUGCAGCAACAACAAAACGAUUCGUACGGGUUAUGUUAAAGGUUAAAGAGAUUUGUAAAGCAAACGUUGACAAAUGAAAAGGUUUUUAAUGACUUUAUCUGGCAAAUUGAUGCUGUGCAACAUGAAUCUUUCGAGUCUGAAUAGAAACCGGAAACGCGGAUGUAUCAAUUUGAUUGUAGUAUACGAAAUGAAUUCGGCAUUACGAUACGAUAUUUUUUUUACAGGAAAUAUUUAAGUUUUUACUUUUAAACUUUUAAAGUAAUUCUAAAUUAUCGUUACAGCAGUACUCGAGUUAUUUGCGAUGAAAUAAUAUUUACUGUUUUGCGUCUUGUACUUCUUAAGAAAAGGGGGAUGCUGAUUGCGUAAGUCAAAAUAAAGCACGUGUUCGACUUGUUAAACUGUUUUCUUUGUAACUGGAUUAUUAAUUUAUUUAUUUAACCUAAAUUAUCAUAAUCAUUUGCUGAAACUUAGUUGAUUAAUUCGACAAAUGAAUCGUCUAUCCUCAGAUAGUAUUCUCCUGUCUGGUUUGUUGAUCUACCUGUAUACAAGCUCAGGUACAAGUGAUUAGCGAUCUUAAUCCGGAUAUCCCUCAGGCGUUAGAACUGUAUUGACAUAAAAAGCCCAAGGGUUAUGCAAUAACAUGCAUUUGAUUAUAAUUGAUAAAAAAA